UGCCACCAACCCUCCUGUACCAAAGAUUGUCCACACCGGGCACAUUUUCGUUGCAACGGUGAUAUCAUAUUAUUAUUAUAAUAAAUCAAUUAAUAAUUAAAAAUAAAUAAAAUAUAAAAAAUAAUAUAAAAUAUUAUUAACAAAUAAAAUAUAUGUUGGUUAAUAAAAUAUAAAAAAUUUUAUAAAUUUAUUAUAAUUUUGACGUGAUAUCACUGUUGCAAUGAAUAUUCUUUCGUCCAGUCUC
RNAcentral lists this long non-coding RNA (244 nucleotides) under Elaeis guineensis (African oil palm). RNAcentral describes it as "long non-coding RNA (EGUI_LNC029069)". Lineage: Eukaryota; Viridiplantae; Streptophyta; Magnoliopsida; Arecales; Arecaceae. The record is from RNAcentral.